Molecule: long non-coding RNA, 252 nt
Filed under: Elaeis guineensis (African oil palm)
Lineage: Eukaryota; Viridiplantae; Streptophyta; Magnoliopsida; Arecales; Arecaceae
Description: long non-coding RNA (EGUI_LNC062198)
Source: RNAcentral
AAAUCCUAGAUCCUAAAAUCCAAAACCCUAAAUCCUAAAAUCCUAAAACCUAGACCCUAAACACUAAACCCAAAGCCCUAAACCCUAAAAUCCUAAACCCUAAACCCUUAACCCUAACCACUAAAACUUAAAACCCCAAACCCUAAACCCAAGAUGCUAAACCCAAAAUCCCAAACCCUAAACCCUAAAUUCUAAAAUCCUAAACCCUAGAACCCCAAACCCUAAAUCCUAAACACAAAACCCUAAACCCUA